GACGAACGCUGGCGGCGUGCUUAACACAUGCAAGUCGAACGGAAAGGCCCUGCUUUUGUGGGGUGCUCGAGUGGCGAACGGGUGAGUAACACGUGAGUAACCUGCCCUUGACUUUGGGAUAACUUCAGGAAACUGGGGCUAAUACCGGAUAGGAGCUCCUGCUGCAUGGUGGGGGUUGGAAAGUUUCGGCGGUUGGGGAUGGACUCGCGGCUUAUCAGCUUGUUGGUGGGGUAGUGGCUUACCAAGGCAUUGACGGGCAGCCGGCCUGAGAGGGUGGCCGGCCACAUUGGGACUGAGAUACGGCCCAGCCUCCUACGUGAGGCAGCAGUGGGGAAUAUUGCACAAUGGGCGGAAGCCUGAUGCAGCAACGCCGCGUGCGGGGUGACGGCCUUCGUGUUGUAAACCGCUUUCGCCUGUGACGAAGCGUGAGUGACGGUAAUGGGUAAAGAAGCACCGGCUAACUACGUG
Molecule: ribosomal RNA, 468 nt
Filed under: uncultured bacterium
Lineage: Bacteria
Description: partial 16S ribosomal RNA
Rfam family: Bacterial small subunit ribosomal RNA
Source: RNAcentral